Molecule: long non-coding RNA, 753 nt
Organism: Acanthochromis polyacanthus (spiny chromis)
Lineage: Eukaryota; Metazoa; Chordata; Actinopteri; Pomacentridae
Exons: 4
Source: RefSeq, a predicted model, not a curated record
UUAGUUCAUCUUGCAGUGUGUUUGUAUUUUUUUGUUCGAUAUAAUACACUAUGGUGUUUAUUUUGUCCAAAAUUCCUGAUCAUUCUUUUUUCAAAGAAACCUGCUCUAUAGUGUUUUUCAGGCUAGCUGCUGCAAGGCCUAGAUGGUGCCUCCCCCCCCCGGGUGGCUCAGCAGUGCAGAAGCGACAACAGGUGUGCCUUAUCAGCAAUCCUCAGCUGGAACUAGGAGCAGGUGGAGAUCAUCUAAUCAAGCACACCCUGCCUCAGUAUAACCAGACGCCUCACAUCUCAAGCGCCAGAUCGUGACACAUCAGUUUUGGUUCCACCUGCUCCUAGUAGAGUCCUCUACACCUGAUUCUGGUCUCUGCUUCAGCGAGAAGGGAAAUCUCUCCAGGCUGCCGGUGGCUCAGCAGUGCAGAAGCGACGACAGGUGUGCCUCAUUAGCAAUCCUCAGCCAGAACUAGGAGCAGGUGGAGAUGGUCUAAUCAAGCACACCCUGCCUCAGUAUAACCAGGCGCCUCUCAACUCAAGCGCCAGAUCAUGACACAUCAGUUUUGGUUCCACCUGCUCCUAGUAGAGUCCUCUACACCUGAUUCUGGUCUCCACUUUGGUAAGAAGGGAAAUCUCUCCAGGCUGUCGUAAGUAAAGUUUAUUUAUAUAGCACUUUUCACAGAUAUAAAAAUCACUGCUUUGCAUUCAAAGAAAAAUGAGACAUUAAAAUAAAGCUCCAUGAUGUAAAAUCACGUGGAAAGAC